GACGAACGCUGGCGGCGCGCCUAACACAUGCAAGUCGAACGAGCAAAGAGGAGCUUGCUUCUCUGAGCGAGUGGCGAACGGGUGAGUAACGCGUGAGGAACCUGCCUCAAAGAGGGGGACAACAGUUGGAAACGACUGCUAAUACCGCAUAAGCCCACGGGUCGGCAUCGACCAGAGGGAAAAGGAGCAAUCCGCUUUGAGAUGGCCUCGCGUCCGAUUAGCUAGUUGGUGAGGUAACGGCCCACCAAGGCGACGAUCGGUAGCCGACCUGAGAGGGUGACCGGCCACAUUGGGACUGAGACACGGCCCAAACUCCCUACGGGAGGCAGCAGUGGGGAAUAUUGCACAAUGGGGGAAACCCUGAUGCAGCGACGCCGCGUGAACGAAGAAGUAUUCGGUAUGUAAAGUUCUAUCAGCAGGGAAGAUAAUGACGGUACCUGACUAAGAGCACCGGCUAAAUACGUG
Molecule: ribosomal RNA, 465 nt
Filed under: uncultured bacterium
Lineage: Bacteria
Description: bacterial SSU rRNA
Rfam family: Bacterial small subunit ribosomal RNA
Source: RNAcentral